This 468-nucleotide ribosomal RNA is filed under the name uncultured bacterium. Its description in RNAcentral is "partial 16S ribosomal RNA". It matches the Rfam family "Bacterial small subunit ribosomal RNA", at positions 28 to 507 of the family's 1533-position model. The record is from RNAcentral.
GACGAACGCUGGCGGCGUGCUUAACACAUGCCAGUCGAACGGAAAGGCCCUGCUUUUGUGGGGUGCUCGAGUGGCGAACGGGUGAGUAACACGUGGGUAACCUGCCCUUGACUUUGGGAUAACUUCAGGAAACUGGGGCUAAUACCGGAUAGGAGCUCCUGCUGCAUGGUGGGGGUUGGAAAGUUUCGGCGGUUGGGGAUGGACUCGCGGCUUAUCAGCUUGUUGGUGGGGUAGUGGCUUACCAAGGCUUUGACGGGUAGCCGGCCUGAGAGGGUGACCGGCCACAUUGGGACUGAGAUACGGCCCAGACUCCUACGGGAGGCAGCAGUGGGGAAUAUUGCACAAUGGGCGGAAGCCUGAUGCAGCAACGCCGCGUGCGGGAUGACGGCCUUCGGGUUGUAAACCGCUUUCGCCUGUGACGAAGCGUGAGUGACGGUAAUAGGUAAAGAAGCACCGGCUAACUACGUG